This 76-nucleotide transfer RNA is filed under the name Candidatus Cloacimonadota bacterium. RNAcentral describes it as "tRNA-Phe". It matches the Rfam family "tRNA". From Rfam's summary of the family: Transfer RNA (tRNA) molecules are approximately 80 nucleotides in length. Their secondary structure includes four short double-helical elements and three loops (D, anti-codon, and T loops). The record is from RNAcentral. Lineage: Bacteria; Pseudomonadati; Candidatus Cloacimonadota.
GCUGAGGUAGCAAAGGUGGUCAAUGCACUGGUCUGAAAAACCAGCGAUGACGGUUCGACUCCGUCCCUCAGCACCA